Molecule: small RNA, 92 nt
Filed under: Notechis scutatus (mainland tiger snake)
Lineage: Eukaryota; Metazoa; Chordata; Lepidosauria; Squamata; Elapidae
Description: 7SK RNA (ENSNSUG00000016447.1)
Source: RNAcentral
ACUGAUCUUCAUUCAAAGGUAUAUGAUAGCUGUGCUCACCUGCUAGAAUCUCCAAACAAAUUCAAGCAGUUUGGGGAGUAAGAUGACUUAGC